This is a small nuclear RNA of Mastomys coucha (southern multimammate mouse), 108 nucleotides long. The record is from RefSeq and is a predicted model, not a curated record. Lineage: Eukaryota; Metazoa; Chordata; Mammalia; Rodentia; Muridae.
GUGCUCAAUUUGGCAGCACAUACACUAAAACUAAAGCAAUACAGGGAAGAUUUAGUAUGGCCCCUGCAUAAAGAUGACAGACAGAUUUGUGACGUGUUCCACAUGAAC